AGAGUUUGAUCCUGGCUCAGGAUGAACGCUAGCGGCAGGCUUAAUACACGCAAGUCGAGGGGCAUCGGGGGUAGCAAUACCUGCCGGCGACCGGCAAACGGGUGCGGAACACGUACACAACCUUCCUUUAAGCGGGGGAUAGCCCAGAGAAAUUUGGAUUAAUACCCCAUAGUAUGUUAGCGAGGCAUCUCGUUGACAUUAAAGAUUUAUCACUUGAAGAUGGGUGUGCGUCUGAUUAGGUAGUUGGCGGGGUAACGGCCCACCAAGCCAUCGAUCAGUAACUGGUGUGAGAGCACGACCAGUCACACGGGCACUGAGACACGGGCCCGACUCCUACGGGAGGCAGCAGUAAGGAAUAUUGGUCAAUGGACGCAAGUCUGAACCAGCCAUGCCGCGUGGAGGAUGAAGGUCCUCUGGAUUGUAACUUCUUUUAUUUGGAAGAAUGCAUUUUUUCU
This 455-nucleotide ribosomal RNA is filed under the name uncultured Chitinophagaceae bacterium. RNAcentral describes it as "bacterial SSU rRNA". It matches the Rfam family "Bacterial small subunit ribosomal RNA", at positions 8 to 460 of the family's 1533-position model. The record is from RNAcentral. Lineage: Bacteria; Pseudomonadati; Bacteroidota; Chitinophagia; Chitinophagales; Chitinophagaceae.